AGAGAUGGAUUGGUGCCUUCGGGAACUCUGACACAGGUGCUGCAUGGCGUGUCGUCAGCUCGUGUCGUGAGAUGUUGGGUUAAGUCCCGUAACGAGCGCAACCCUUGUCCUUAGUUACCAGCACGUUAUGGUGGGCACUCUAAGGAGACUGCCGGUGACAAACCGGAGGAAGGUGGGGAUGACGUCAAGUCAUCAUGGCCCUUACGGCCUGGGCUACACACGUGCUACAAUGGUCGGUACAAAGGGUUGCCAAGCCGCGAGGUGGAGCUAAUCCCAUAAAACCGAUCGUAGUCCGGAUCGCAGUCUGCAACUCGACUGCGUGAAGUCGGAAUCGCUAGUAAUCGUGAAUCACGAAUGUCACGGUGAAUACGUUCCCGGGCCUU
Molecule: ribosomal RNA, 383 nt
Filed under: uncultured Pseudomonas sp.
Lineage: Bacteria; Pseudomonadati; Pseudomonadota; Gammaproteobacteria; Pseudomonadales; Pseudomonadaceae
Description: bacterial SSU rRNA
Rfam family: Bacterial small subunit ribosomal RNA
Source: RNAcentral